UAAUAAGUGAAAAUUUUUAUUAUCUUGUCGAGUUACUUUGAGUUCGAUACAAUAACUUGUUCUUAUCGUUUAAAUAUUAAAUUAUAGGAAGGGAGUUGGAAGAGGUUGAGAUGGAAGGUCGAUCUCUAAGAGUGAGUCUAAAUGAUUAUAGUGGAGCCACGGCCAAUCAUGGACAUGAUCCAGGGACUAAACCGAGUUCCGGCAGCCGAGCUGGUGGCCGAAAAACCCAUCACCGACUCUAAAUAAAUGUGCUCAGGGUGUCAUUGCUAGUAUAUAUUAAUUGUUCGAGGUGGACUUUAUCAUCUAUCUUGUUUGAUUAUGCAUAAUUGAUUGUGAAUUGUAUUGAUUAUGUAAUUUGAGGUAACAAUUAAUAGAUCAAAAUAAGUUAUAUGAUUGUAAUAAACUGUGCUACAACUACAAAAUUU
This 425-nucleotide long non-coding RNA is filed under the name Olea europaea subsp. europaea. The record is from RNAcentral. Lineage: Eukaryota; Viridiplantae; Streptophyta; Magnoliopsida; Lamiales; Oleaceae.